CUCAUUUCUCGACUUUUCAGCUAAGAUCAAGUGUAGUAUCUGUUCUUUUCAGUUUAAUAUGUGAUACAUCCUCUAUCUGAGGAAGAUAUCUUAAAUGGAUUUUUGGAGCAGGGAGCUGGAAUAGGAGCUUGUUCAGUUUAUUCCAUGCAUCAACCUGGUAUUGCAAUACCUCCAGGAACAGUAUAUCCCCU
This 191-nucleotide small nuclear RNA is filed under the name Castor canadensis (American beaver). RNAcentral's name for it is "U2 spliceosomal RNA (ENSCCNG00000021154.1)". It matches the Rfam family "U2 spliceosomal RNA". Rfam says of the family: U2 is a small nuclear RNA (snRNA) component of the spliceosome (involved in pre-mRNA splicing). Complementary binding between U2 snRNA (in an area lying towards the 5' end but 3' to hairpin I) and the branchpoint sequence (BPS) of the intron results the bulging out of an unpaired adenosine, on the BPS, which initiates a nucleophilic attack at the intronic 5' splice site, thus starting the first of two transesterification reactions that mediate splicing. Lineage: Eukaryota; Metazoa; Chordata; Mammalia; Rodentia; Castoridae. The record is from Rfam by way of RNAcentral.